CCCAUUCACCUCCUCCACUUUCUCCAGAUUCAGCUUCUUUGCGUCUUCUUUCUCUGUUCUUUCGGAUCAGUGUAUCCAGCUCUGCCAUCUUUCGCGUGCUCUUGUUCUUCUUCCCUUUCUUUCGUUUUUUUCCUUAUUCUUCCUCCUCUCCGUUCUUCGAUGGUUUCUCCGUCACUGGCGAUGCCUCUACUGUCGGUGGUGUCCACAGCCUCAUAGAGCGUGAGC
RNAcentral lists this long non-coding RNA (225 nucleotides) under Arachis ipaensis. RNAcentral's name for it is "long non-coding RNA (AIPA_LNC001234)". The record is from RNAcentral. Lineage: Eukaryota; Viridiplantae; Streptophyta; Magnoliopsida; Fabales; Fabaceae.